RNAcentral lists this long non-coding RNA (601 nucleotides) under Citrus sinensis (sweet orange). Its description in RNAcentral is "long non-coding RNA (CSIN_LNC003261)". The record is from RNAcentral. Lineage: Eukaryota; Viridiplantae; Streptophyta; Magnoliopsida; Sapindales; Rutaceae.
CAAAGUCUGGUUCUGUACUGGGCAGGAUGUAGCCAGGACUCAAAAACUCCAUGAGCAUACUCACAUCCAUCCCCCUUGGGGCAUGCCCCCUUACGGAACUCAGGGCAGGGGACACAGGUGUAAGGAUACUUCCUAGGAUCUCUCCUCCUAGCAUUCUCACCCGGAUGAACAAAUGGGCACUCUGUCCAAUCAUGUGAAUAAGCCCUCGAGCAUGGCUUUAUCUUAAAAGCGUACAUUCUAAAAUCAUCAGUUCCAUAAACUCCAUUGUUUAUAUCAGGCAAUGAUACAUCAAUUGGGUACUCUUUCUUCUCAGUUCCAUCUUUUGAUAACUGAGGCACAGGAAUAUUCACCAAUUCUUCUUCUUCAAAAAUAGUAUGAUCGCCUUUCAACAAUAACUCUAUUGCCCUUUUUCUUGAAUGGAGUGGUGAUUUCAUAGCAACUGGAAUGAGAUCAACUGGCUUAUUCCCAUACACAUCAACACAGUUAACAUCAGCAGAUGCACUGAGUAAGAGCUUGACCACCUCAAAGGAAGAGUUGGCACCACCAGCAACAGCACAGUGAAGGGCAGUGAAACCAUCAGAACCACAGGCCCUAUUCACAU